This 1240-nucleotide long non-coding RNA is filed under the name Danio rerio (zebrafish). Its description in RNAcentral is "lncRNA si:rp71-29l5.1 (ENSDARG00000091870.3)". Lineage: Eukaryota; Metazoa; Chordata; Actinopteri; Cypriniformes; Danionidae. The record is from RNAcentral.
GCGGCUAAUGGGGGAUGCUGCACGUGCUGGACAAAUGACGACCGACUAAGUGGCUGGUAAUGUACGUCGAGACAUUUUGUAUUGGCAUUUGCAAUCUCAAGUAAGCAGUCGGAAACAGUGAAUCUUACAAGCAAAUAUUCACCUCGGCAAUGGCUAGACUGCUGAACAUCUUUGCUAACGCUUCUGGCAUUGCCUGUAUCUGUUGGAUUACUAAGGAUCCAUUGGACUACAACAAAAAAUCUUUAAUGUUCUACUGGAGGAAAAAGUUGCACCUUGGCUGUUCUGGGGUUUGCCUUUAUUCUGUGGCUUUCAACAGUGAGUAAGUCUGGUGGUCUUUGAGCUGCUUCAGCCUGCCUUCAUCUCACAGCUGGGAGAUCCAGCUCUUCUGUUCACUGCCAUCCAUGGAGCCCCAAAGGCCUUACUGGCAUAAAUCAGGUAAAAAAUAAAUACAUGAAGCAAUGCAACGGAAGAAAAGAAUGUCGUUCUCGGAAACCACAUCACUGCAGCAGCAGAGUAAGAAAAAUAAUCUACUUCAGGAGUUUUCAUUUGUGCCAUUCCACAGUCCUAAACAAUUGACUGUAUCUAUAAAGCUAUAAAUCCAUGGUUCCAGGAGCACUUCAGGUGAACAGACGGGAUAACAAGCAUUUGUGGUAAGAUGUGGUGAGUCUAACUGCUGCACUUCAGUUCUCACACAUCCACAGCAGUUUGAUUCUGACCCCAAGAGAGAAAGCAAGGCCAAGAAGCAGAAAAGAGAGUUACUUACUCAGUGGACAGCCAUUACAGCAACAAUGCAGUCAAUUGGGAUCUAAAUGGGAGUUUCAUUUACCAGCACCAUUGACUUUGUGCUGAUUGUAAAGCCAUUUGUUUAGAUGUGUUUGUGAGAACCAUGAUUUUCAGUAGUUCACUAAGCCAUUACACUGCAAUAGGAAAAAAGAAGCUAUUUUAUCUGAGAAUGAAAUGGAAGGUGCUAGUUAAGCCUGGCUUUUGAACGGUAAUACAUAUUAUGUCCUAUGAUUGUCAACUUGCCUGACUUUGACGAUUAUUCAGUUAAUUAUGUAUUUUAAUGUAAAUACUUGAGCAUUUAUAUGGUGCCUGUAACUUUUUCAGUGGGUUGCAUGUGUGUAUUGUCUUAAAGCACCUUCAUAUUACUGCUGUCUCUGCUUUUAAUUUUAAUCAAACAAAUGUUAAUGAAAUGACUGAAUAACUGUAACAUCAAUAGUGAUUAAACUUUAUUAAUUUA